RNAcentral lists this ribosomal RNA (406 nucleotides) under Candidatus Saccharimonadota bacterium. RNAcentral describes it as "bacterial SSU rRNA". It matches the Rfam family "Bacterial small subunit ribosomal RNA", at positions 1098 to 1533 of the family's 1533-position model. The record is from RNAcentral. Lineage: Bacteria; Candidatus Saccharimonadota.
ACAACCCCUAUGUUCAGUUGGAUUUUUCUGAACAGACUGCCCUGGUAACAGGGAGGAAGGAGGGGAUGAUGUCAGGUCAGUAUUGCCCUUACGCCUUGGGCUACAAACACGCUACAAUGGCCGGUACAAAGGGUCGCUAAGUCGCGAGACGGAGCCAAUCCCAUCAAAACCGGUCUCAGUUCGGAUAGCAGGCUGAAACUCGCCUGCUUGAAGCUGGAAUCGCUAGUAAUGGUAGGUCAGCUAUACUACCGUGAAUACGUUCCCGGGUCUUGUACACACCGCCCGUCAAGCCAUGAAAGUUGGGGGCACCCAAAGUCCGUUUAUACGGCCUAAGGUGAAUUCAAUGAUUGGGGUUAAGUCGUAACAAGGUAUCCGUACCGGAAGGUGCGGAUGGAUUACCUCCUUU